RNAcentral lists this ribosomal RNA (301 nucleotides) under uncultured bacterium. RNAcentral describes it as "partial 16S ribosomal RNA". It matches the Rfam family "Bacterial small subunit ribosomal RNA", at positions 509 to 807 of the family's 1533-position model. The record is from RNAcentral.
CAGUAGCCGCGGUAAUACGAGGGGGGCAAGCGUUGUUCGGAUUUAUUGGGCGUAAAGGGUGCGUAGGCGGUUUGGCAAGUUUGGUGUGAAAUCUUCGGGCUCAACUCGAAGUCUGCAUCGAAAACUGCCGGGCUUGAGUAUGGGAGAGGUGAGUGGAAUUUCCGGUGUAGCGGUGAAAUGCGUAGAUAUCGGAAGGAACACCUGUGGCGAAAGCGGCUCACUGGACCAUAACUGACGCUGAGGCGCGAAAGCUAGGGGAGCAAACAGGAUUAGAUACCCGCGUAGUCCCUGUCUCUUAUAC